GACGAACCGUGCGAACGUUGUUCGGAAUCACUGGGCUUAAAGGGCGCGUAGGCGGUUCCGCAAGUCCGGGGUGAAAGCCCCCAGCUCAACUGGGGAAGUGCCUCGGAUACUGCGGAGCUCGAGCGAGGUAGGGGCAGCGGGAACUUCCGGUGGAGCGGUGAAAUGCGUUGAUAUCGGAAGGAACGCCGGUGGCGAAAGCGCGCUGCUGGACCUCUCCUGACGCUGAGGCGCGAAAGCCAGGGGAGCAAACGGG
RNAcentral lists this ribosomal RNA (253 nucleotides) under uncultured bacterium. RNAcentral's name for it is "partial 16S ribosomal RNA". It matches the Rfam family "Bacterial small subunit ribosomal RNA", at positions 524 to 776 of the family's 1533-position model. The record is from RNAcentral.